RNAcentral lists this long non-coding RNA (693 nucleotides) under Homo sapiens (human). Its description in RNAcentral is "HSALNT0304665". The record is from RNAcentral. Lineage: Eukaryota; Metazoa; Chordata; Mammalia; Primates; Hominidae.
GAGGGUGCCGGUCAGCGGAGCCGUGCGAUGUAUUUGAAAAGCAAUCAGUCCGACCUUCCCCCAUAGAUUCAUCCUAAAUUGCAGAGGGUCCCAGUUUCAUUCAUUCUCCCUCACAGGGAAGGCAUUCUCUUCCUCUUCCUCCAGCUGCCUGAAAAUCAUAUGCGUGGUUUUUCCUGUUUCCUGCUCUGUAGCUGACAUCAGGGGAGCAACGUGAACACAGGAAAAUGGAAAUCAACAUUUGAAACUUUUAAAUGGAAGCUUUAUUGGGGUUCCACAUAUGGAAAACUGCAAAUAGCAGAAGUAUGUGACUCAAUAAAUUAUUCUGGAGUGACCACAUCCUCUAACUGCCUCCCAGGACAAGACGGAGAAUGUGAACAAUGCUCCUGAAGGCCCCUUUCCCUCAAAGAAUCACUGCAAUUGAAGGAAAAAUGCUCCAUGUCCCCUCUGCCAGUUGGUGUUUAUCAAAGGACAACGGAGGAAGAGAGACAAAGUGCCUGGAUGUGUGUGUUAAUCAAGAGUUGUCAGGACCCUGCCUCUAAAAGAAAGCGCUAAAAUGAUGCUUUUGACAAGACUUUUCUCAAAGUGGAUGCAGUCUAAGGGUUGGAAAACAAGGCCCAAUCAGGCUAGGUCUGACUUGUCGCCUGCUUUUGUAAAUAAAGUUUUAUUGGCUCACAGACACACUUAUUUGUUUCU